Camellia sinensis is the source of this 893-nucleotide long non-coding RNA. RefSeq lists it as uncharacterized. NCBI's taxonomy places the organism in Eukaryota, Viridiplantae, Streptophyta, Magnoliopsida, Ericales, Theaceae. The record is from RefSeq and is a predicted model, not a curated record.
GUUACACUCCCCUUAUCUCUCUCACUCUCUCUCCUCUGCCUUCCGCACAGACCCCGUUGCCUCCGCCCCGCUACGGAGUAUGGUGCCUCGAAGUCUGCCGCCGGAACCCUAACCACCAGCUAGUUCUGCACCACAGCCCCCUCGUCUCUCUCUCUUCAUCUUCUCGAUCGCACAGAGCCCUCCUUCCACCGUCUCGCGACCAUUACGGCGGUUGUUCGGCCUCUCUCUCUCUCACAGAUCGUUAUUCUCUGUCUCCUAGGGCACCUCCGUCGCCGCCGAUCUUCGGCGUCCGCUGUAUCGUCACCAGAUCUUCCCUCCAUAUCUCCAAACAGAGAAACGAUUUUAGCAGUUGAUUCAGUUGUUUUGUGAUUGAAAAUUCGCGAAAAAUGAAGGUAGAGGAAGCAAACAAAGCGGCCUCAUCACCAUCAACAACAACAACAACAACAACAACAACGACAACCGACUCAAAAACCCUAGUUGCAGUAACCAAACCCAAUCAGCAGCCGACACAUCACCAGAAUCCUCUGCUAACAGUAGAAGAAGAAGGAGACAGAUUACUGGUUUAAGUCAGAUUACGCUAGCACAGCUUAAGGACAAGGCUGUGCAGGCCGCCAAGCUCGAGUUCUGCCAAGCUCUCUCUCUCUCUCUUCUCUAUUUGUCGGCUUCCGUGAACAGCACAGAACAAGAAGUUUUGCUUUGCUUCUCAAUCGUUGUCUCAAAACUUCUCAAUCUCCUCUGGUUUUAAUUCAUCUAAAAAUCUGUAUAUUUAUGUCCCUAUACUCUAUCGAAGUUCUCUAUCUCGCUACUCAUAACUUUGCAUUAGAGAAGAUCAAAGUUUUUUGUGCAUAGAUUGAGCUUUGAAGCUUUGAUGUAUAACUAUAGGUUUUUAUGAA